ACCUGGCUAGCUUCGUCGGUAGAGCUUGUGACUCUUGAUCUCGGGGUUGUGAGUUCGAUACCCACGUUGGGUG
This 73-nucleotide transfer RNA is filed under the name Mustela putorius furo (domestic ferret). It matches the Rfam family "tRNA". Rfam says of the family: Transfer RNA (tRNA) molecules are approximately 80 nucleotides in length. Their secondary structure includes four short double-helical elements and three loops (D, anti-codon, and T loops). Lineage: Eukaryota; Metazoa; Chordata; Mammalia; Carnivora; Mustelidae. The record is from Rfam by way of RNAcentral.